GAACACGUGAAGAAUCUGCCUUCAACUCUGGGAUAACUCCGGGAAACCGGGGCUAAUACCGGAUAUGAGCCUUGAUCGCAUGAUCGGGGCUGGAAAGUUUUUCGGUUGAAGAUGACUUCGCGGCCUAUCAGCUUGUUGGUGAGGUAAUGGCUCACCAAGGCGACGACGGGUAGCCGGCCUGAGAGGGCGACCGGCCACACUGGGACUGAGACACGGCCCAGACUCCUACGGGAGGCAGCAGUGGGGAAUAUUGGGCAAUGGAGGAAACUCUGACCCAGCGACGCCGCGUGAGGGAUGAAGGCCUUCGGGUUGUAAACCUCUUUCAGUAGGGAAGAAGCGAAAGUGACGGUACCUACAGAAGAAGCACCGGCUAACUAUGUGCCAGCAGCCGCGGUAAUACAUAGGGUGCAAGCGUUGUCCGGAAUUAUUGGGCGUAAAGAGCUCGUAGGUGGUUCGAUACGUCGGAUGUGAAAAUCAGGGGCUCAACCCCUGACCUGCAUCCGAUACGGUCGAGCUAGAGUUUGGUAGGGGAGACUGGAAUUCCUGGUGUAGCGGUGGAAUGCGCAGAUAUCAGGAGGAACACCGAUGGCGAAGGCAGGUCUCUGGGCCAAUACUGACACUGAGGAGCGAAAGCGUGGGGAGCGAACAGGAUUAGAUACCCUGGUAGUCCACGCCGUAAACGGUGGGCGCUAGUUGUGCGAACCUUCCACGGUUUGUGCGACGCAGCUAACGCAUUAAGCGCCCCGCCUGGGGAGUACGAUCGCAAGAUUAAAACUCAAAGGAAUUGACGGGGCCCCGCACAAGCAGCGGAGCAUGCGGCUUAAUUCGACGCAACGCGAAGAACUUACCAAGGCUU
This 856-nucleotide ribosomal RNA is filed under the name uncultured Actinomycetes bacterium. RNAcentral describes it as "bacterial SSU rRNA". It matches the Rfam family "Bacterial small subunit ribosomal RNA", at positions 111 to 982 of the family's 1533-position model. The record is from RNAcentral. Lineage: Bacteria; Bacillati; Actinomycetota; Actinomycetes.